RNAcentral lists this ribosomal RNA (253 nucleotides) under uncultured bacterium. RNAcentral's name for it is "partial 16S ribosomal RNA". It matches the Rfam family "Bacterial small subunit ribosomal RNA", at positions 524 to 776 of the family's 1533-position model. The record is from RNAcentral.
CACGUAGGAGGCGAGCGUUGUCCGGAAUCAUUGGGCGUAAAGAGCGCGCAGGCGGCUUGGCAAGUCGGGUGUGAAAUCCCGGGGCUCAACCCCGUGACUGCAUCCGAUACUGUCAGGCUAGAGGUAGGUAGGGGAGAUCGGAAUUCCACGUGUAGCGGUGAAAUGCGUAGAGAUGUGGAGGAACACCGAUGGCGAAGGCAGCCUCCUGGGCCAAUACUGACGCUCAUGCACGAAAGCGUGGGGAGCAAACAGG